Molecule: ribosomal RNA, 227 nt
Filed under: uncultured bacterium
Lineage: Bacteria
Description: partial 16S ribosomal RNA
Rfam family: Bacterial small subunit ribosomal RNA
Source: RNAcentral
UAAUCUACCUUCGGAUGGGGAAUAACAGUCGGAAACGGCUGCUAAUACCGCAUAAUGCAGCGGCACCUAAUGGUGACAGUUGUUAAAGCGGGGGAUCGAAAGACCUCGCGUCUGAAGAGGAGCCUGCGGCGGAUUAGCUAGUUGGUAAGGUAAUGGCUUACCAAGGCUACGAUCCGUAACCGGCCUGAGAGGGCGGUCGGUCACACUGACACUGACAUACGGGUCAG